This 390-nucleotide ribosomal RNA is filed under the name uncultured bacterium. RNAcentral describes it as "bacterial SSU rRNA". It matches the Rfam family "Bacterial small subunit ribosomal RNA", at positions 28 to 424 of the family's 1533-position model. The record is from RNAcentral.
GACGAACGCUGGCGGCGUGCUUAACACAUGCAAGUCGAACGGUAAGGCCCUUCGGGUACGACGAGUGGCGAACGGGUGAGUAACACGUGGGUGAUCUGCCCUGCACUUCGGGAUAAGCCUGGGAAACUGGGUCUAAUACCGGAUAGGACCAUGGACUUCACGGUUUGUGGUGGAAAGCUUUUGCGGUGUGGGAUGGGCCCGCGGCCUAUCAGCUUGUUGGUGGGGUAAUGGCCUACCAAGGCGACGACGGGUAGCCGGCCUGAGAGGGUGUCCGGCCACACUGGGACUGAGAUACGGCCCAGACUCCUACGGGAGGCAGCAGUGGGGAAUAUUGCACAAUGGGCGCAAGCCUGAUGCAGCGACGCCGCGUGAGGGAUGACGGCCUCGGUU